GACGAACGCUGGCGGCGUGCUUAACACAUGCAAGUCGAACGGAAAGGCCCUGCUUUUGUGGGGUGCUCGAGUGGCGAACGGGUGAGUAACACGUGAGUAACCUGCCCUUGACUUUGGGAUAACUUCAGGAAACUGGGGCUAAUACCGGAUAGGAGCUCCUGCUGCAUGGUGGGGGUUGGAAAGUUUCGGCGGUUGGGGAUGGACUCGCGGCUUAUCAGCUUGUUGGUGGGGUAGUGGCUUACCAAGGCUUUGACGGGUAGCCGGCCUGAGAGGGUGACCGGCCAUUGGGACUGAGAUACGGCCCAGACUCCUACGGGAGGCAGCAGUGGGGAAUAUUGCACAAUGGGCGGAAGCCUGAUGCAGCAACGCCGCGUGCGGGAUGACGGCCUUCGGGUUGUAAACCGCUUUCGCCUGUGACGAAGCGUGAGUGACGGUAAUGGGUAAAGAAGCACCGGCUAACUACGUG
This 466-nucleotide ribosomal RNA is filed under the name uncultured bacterium. RNAcentral's name for it is "partial 16S ribosomal RNA". It matches the Rfam family "Bacterial small subunit ribosomal RNA", at positions 28 to 507 of the family's 1533-position model. The record is from RNAcentral.